AAGAAUCGGGUCUGAGAUCACCUCAGAUGAAGCUUCUAUGGCGAUCCCCCCAAUUGAAUUGCUGGACUCGGAACCCCAGCCAUGGAGAAUUGCAGGUCCCAUGAUCUGACUAUGGAGUGCACGUGUCAGAGCUGGGCCCCUCACCAGGCUUAAAAGUAGCA
Long non-coding RNA from Ochotona curzoniae (black-lipped pika), 161 nucleotides. RefSeq lists it as uncharacterized. NCBI's taxonomy places the organism in Eukaryota, Metazoa, Chordata, Mammalia, Lagomorpha, Ochotonidae. The transcript has 3 exons. The record is from RefSeq and is a predicted model, not a curated record.